CCUACGGGAGGCAGCAGUCGAGAAUCAUUCACAAUGGGGGAAACCCUGAUGGUGCGACGCCGCGUGGGGGAAUGAAGGUCUUCGGAUUGUAAACCCCUGUCAUGUGGGAGCAAAUUAAAAAGAUAGUACCACAAGAGGAAGAGACGGAUAACUCUGUGCCAGCAGCCGCGGUAAUACAGAGGUCUCAAGCGUUGUUCGGAAUCACUGGGCGUAAAGCGUGCGGAGGCUGUUUCGUAAGUCGGGUGUGAAAGGCGCGGGCUCAACCCGCGGACGGCACAUGAUACUGCGAGACUAGAGUGAUGGAGGGGGAACCGGAAUUCUCGGUGUAGCAGUGAAAUGCGUAGAUAUCGAGAGGAACACUCGUGGCGAAGGCGGGUUCCUGGACAGUAACUGACGCUGAGGCACGAAGGCCAGGGGAGCGAAAGGGAUUAGAUACCCCUGUAGUC
Molecule: ribosomal RNA, 446 nt
Filed under: uncultured bacterium
Lineage: Bacteria
Description: partial 16S ribosomal RNA
Rfam family: Bacterial small subunit ribosomal RNA
Source: RNAcentral